RNAcentral lists this ribosomal RNA (379 nucleotides) under uncultured bacterium. RNAcentral describes it as "bacterial SSU rRNA". It matches the Rfam family "Bacterial small subunit ribosomal RNA", at positions 523 to 898 of the family's 1533-position model. The record is from RNAcentral.
AUACGUAGGGCGCGAGCGUUGUCCGGAAUUAUUGGGCGUAAAGAGCUCGUAGGCGGUUUGUCGCGUCUGUCGUGAAAUUCCACAGCUUAACUGUGGGCUUGCGGUGGGUACGGGCAGGCUAGAGUGCGGUAGGGGAGACUGGAAUUCCUGGUGUAGCGGUGGAAUGCGCAGAUAUCAGGAGGAACACCGGUGGCGAAGGCGGGCCUCUGGGCCGUUACUGACGCUGAGGAGCGAAAGCAUGGGGAGCGAACAGGAUUAGAUACCCUGGUAGUCCAUGCCGUAAACGUUGGGCACUAGGUGUGGGGGUUGUUUCCACGAUUUCUGCGCCGUAGCUAACGCAUUACGUGCCCCGCCUGGGGAGUACGGCCGCAAGGCUAAA